AAAUCUUAAUGGCGGACGGGUGAGUAACGCGUGGGUAACCUGCCUUACACUGGGGGAUAACUCUUUUAAAAAGGUGCUAAUACCGCAUAAGCGCACGAAGCCGCAUGGAUUUGUGUGAAAGACUCCGGUGGUGUAAGAUGGACCCGCGUCUGAUUAGCUUGUUGGCGGGGUAACGGCCCACCAAGGCGACGAUCAGUAGCCGGCCUGAGAGGGUGGACGGCCACAUUGGGACUGAGACACGGCCCAAACUCCUACGGGAGGCAGCAGUGGGGGAUAUUGGACAAUGGGGGGAACCCUGAUCCAGCGACGCCGCGUGAGUGAAGAAGUAUUUCGGUAUGUCAAGCUCUGUCAGCAGGGAAGAAAGAAAUGACGGUACCUGACCAAGAAGCCCCGGCUAACUACGUGCCAGCAGCCGCGGUAAUACGUAGGGGGCAAGCGUUAUCCGGAAUUACUGGGUGUAAAGGGAGCGUAGACGGUUAAGUAAGUCUGGAGUGAAAGGCCGGGGCCCAACCCCGGGACUGCUCUGGAAACUAUUCAACUUGAGUGCAGGAGAGGUAAGCGGAAUUCCUAGUGUAGCGGUGAAAUGCGUAGAUAUU
Molecule: ribosomal RNA, 596 nt
Filed under: uncultured bacterium
Lineage: Bacteria
Description: bacterial SSU rRNA
Rfam family: Bacterial small subunit ribosomal RNA
Source: RNAcentral